UGCCCUGUCGUCAGCCACCAAAGCCCCGCUUUUGGCCUCCAGUGGCUCCUGCUCUUGCCUGCUGUCCCUUCCCACUGCCACCUUCUCUGUCACCUGCAGUUCCUCUGAUUGCUUUGUUCACAAAUGUGGGUGUGGCCUGCAGCCCCUGCCCUGGGUCCAUGCUGUGACAGCAAAGCCUCCCAUCAGACCUGGAACACAGUAGAUGCUUGACAAAGAGUCUUCUCUCAAAGAAAGACCCUCCUGCUCCAGAGCCACCUGCCAAGGUGCUGCUGCUGCAGGAGAGGGCUGGCGGGGCCUCAGCACAGGCCUGUCCUCUCCUGUGCAGGGCCCUGUGUCAGCCUAACUGGGAGAGCCACUGUGCAGACAUCAGACCCUCUGGCUGCUCUCACACAGUCUCGCCUUUGAACCUCCUUUGGCCUGGCUGGACCUUCUCUGGAGUCCUAGGGGAAGUAGUGUCCCUGACCCCACCCUGAACCUACUUCUUGCCUGCCUUGAGCUUGUUCAUCGGUGUGUUAAAGGCCAAGGACCUCAAAUCGCAGAGAGGUGUGGCUGCAGCUGAGCUGCCGGCAAUCGGGAGUACAGGGAGCCUGAGAAAGUGCCAUCGGCCCUGAGGGGACAAGAAGGAGGCACCGAGGCACAGCAGGCUGGUCCUGGUGCAGGAGGAAGGAGCCCGCUGGCAGGUAGUGGCCCGGCCAGGCAGCGGGGGCUGGGGCUGCCUCCAGCUCAGCACAGCGGGGCACAGCACGGAGAGAAGCUAUUCAUCUUCUGCGAAGAGCUGAGCUUCAGGGGAAUAGAAAUGAGGACGUGGGGCUGCAGCGGAGGAAAAGCAGCAGCCACGCUGGGCUCAUCACGUUAUCACCGCAAAAAUACAAUCAGAAGCAGCCCCCAGCCUCCCAAAUUCCUGCAGGUGCCUGCGCCUGAUUUCAUCUCCUAGCCUCGAAAAUGGAUGUUAAUUCCUCUCUCCCUUUUUCUUUAUGCUCCUCUCCACCCCCU
RNAcentral lists this long non-coding RNA (993 nucleotides) under Fukomys damarensis (Damara mole-rat). Its description in RNAcentral is "lncRNA (ENSFDAG00000032753.1)". Lineage: Eukaryota; Metazoa; Chordata; Mammalia; Rodentia; Bathyergidae. The record is from RNAcentral.